CCUACGGUAUGCAGCAGUGGGGAAUAUUGGACAAUGGGCGAAAGCCUGAUCCAGCCAUGCCGCGUGUGUGAAGAAGGCCUUCGGGUUGUAAAGCACUUUCAGUGGGGAAGAAAGCCUUGGGGCUAAUACCCUCGAGGAAGGACAUCACCCACAGAAGAAGCACCGGCUAACUCCGUGCCAGCAGCCGCGGUAAUACGGAGGGUGCGAGCGUUAAUCGGAAUUACUGGGCGUAAAGCGCGCGUAGGCGGUCUGAUAAGCCGGUUGUGAAAGCCCCGGGCUCAACCUGGGAACGGCAUCCGGAACUGUCAGGCUAGAGUGCAGGAGAGGAAGGUAGAAUUCCCGGUGUAGCGGUGAAAUGCGUAGAGAUCGGGAGGAAUACCAGUGGCGAAGGCGGCCUUCUGGACUGACACUGACGCUGAGGUGCGAAAGCGUGGGUAGCAAACAGGAUUAGAUACCCCAGUAGUC
RNAcentral lists this ribosomal RNA (465 nucleotides) under Vreelandella stevensii. RNAcentral's name for it is "partial 16S ribosomal RNA". It matches the Rfam family "Bacterial small subunit ribosomal RNA", at positions 338 to 795 of the family's 1533-position model. Lineage: Bacteria; Pseudomonadati; Pseudomonadota; Gammaproteobacteria; Oceanospirillales; Halomonadaceae. The record is from RNAcentral.